Molecule: unclassified non-coding RNA, 331 nt
Filed under: soil metagenome
Description: partial contains 5.8S ribosomal RNA, internal transcribed spacer 2, and large subunit ribosomal RNA
Rfam family: 5.8S ribosomal RNA (bases 1-120)
Source: RNAcentral
GAUGAAGAACGUAGCGAAAUGCGAUAAGUAAUGUGAAUUGCAGAAUUCAGUGAAUCAUCGAAUCUUUGAACGCACAUUGCGCCCCCUGGUAUUCCGGGGGGCAUGCCUGUUCGAGCGUCAUUUCACCACUCAAGCCUCGCUUGGUAUUGGGCAACGCGGUCCGCCGCGUGCCUCAAAUCGUCCGGCUGGGUCUUCUGUCCCCUAAGCGUUGUGGAAACUAUUCGCUAAAGGGUGUUCGGGAGGCUACGCCGUAAAACAACCCCAUUUCUAAGGUUGACCUCGGUUCAGGUAGGGAUACCCGCUGAACUUAAGCAUAUCAAUAAGCGGAGGA